This 460-nucleotide ribosomal RNA is filed under the name uncultured bacterium. Its description in RNAcentral is "partial 16S ribosomal RNA". It matches the Rfam family "Bacterial small subunit ribosomal RNA", at positions 338 to 795 of the family's 1533-position model. The record is from RNAcentral.
CCUACGGGGCGCAGCAGUGAGGAAUAUUGGUCAAUGGGCGCGAGCCUGAACCAGCCAAGUAGCGUGAAGGAUGACUGCCCUACGGGUUGUAAACUUCUUUUAUAAAGGAAUAAAGUGCGGCACGUGUGCCUUUUUGUAUGUACUUUACGAAUAAGGAUCGGCUAACUCCGUGCCAGCCGCCCCGGUAAUACGGAGGAUCCGAGCGUUAUCCGGAUUUAUUGUGCUUAAAGGGAGCGUAGGUGGUUUGUUAAGUCAGUUGUGAAAGUUCGCGGCUCAACCGUAAAAUUGCAAUUGAUACUGGCAGUCUUGAGUACAGUGGAGGUAGGCGGAAUUCGUGGUGUAGCGGUGAAAUGCUUAGAGAUCACGAAGAACUCCGAUUGCGAAGGCAGCUUACUAAACUGCCACUGACAUUGAUGCUCGAAAGUGUGGGUAUCAAACAGGAUUAGAUACCCGUGUAGUC